AAAUUGCGAAAAGUAAUGUGAAUUGCAGAAUUUCGUGAAUCAUCGAAUCUUUGAACGCAUAUUGCACUCUCUGGUCCUCUAGAGAGUAUGCCUGUUUGAGUAUCAUUAACACCCUCACCCCGUCAAAGGGCGUAAGCUCCGAGGCAGAGUGGACGUGAGCAUCCGGCGCUGAGCUGGUUGCUUCAAAUGCAGCGUAGCUGUACUUGGCACCGCAGCACUUGCGUAUUAGUUCUCGUCAGAGAUUCCUUACGCAUCUUGUGCAGCACCGCCUGCAGCCACGUCAAAGCAACACGAGCGUCUGGCAGUCGACAGGCGUCUCAACCCAUUGAUCUCAAAUCAGGCAAGACCACCCGCUGAAUUUAA
This 363-nucleotide unclassified non-coding RNA is filed under the name uncultured fungus. Its description in RNAcentral is "sequence contains ITS1". The stretch from base 1 to 105 matches the Rfam family "5.8S ribosomal RNA", at positions 50 to 154 of the family's 154-position model. The record is from RNAcentral. Lineage: Eukaryota; Fungi.